GACGAACCGUGCGAACGUUAUUCGGAUUCACUGGGCUUAAAGGGCGCGUAGGCGGACGAGCAAGUCCGGGGUGAAAUCUUUCGGCUUAACCGGAAAAGUGCCUGGGAAACUGCUCGUCUUGAGGGAGGUAGGGGCCUGUGGAACUUCCGGUGGAGCAGUGAAAUGCGUUGAUAUCGGAAGGAACGCCGGUGGCGAAAGCGACGGGCUGGCCCGCCACUGACGCUGAGGCGCGAAAGCCAGGGGAGCGAACGGG
This 253-nucleotide ribosomal RNA is filed under the name uncultured bacterium. Its description in RNAcentral is "partial 16S ribosomal RNA". It matches the Rfam family "Bacterial small subunit ribosomal RNA", at positions 524 to 776 of the family's 1533-position model. The record is from RNAcentral.